This 253-nucleotide ribosomal RNA is filed under the name uncultured bacterium. RNAcentral's name for it is "partial 16S ribosomal RNA". It matches the Rfam family "Bacterial small subunit ribosomal RNA", at positions 524 to 776 of the family's 1533-position model. The record is from RNAcentral.
UACGUAGGUGGCAAGCGUUGUCCGGAUUUACUGGGCGUAAAGAGCGCGCAGGCGGUCGUUCAAGUCGCGUGUGAAAGCCCCCGGCUCAACUGGGGAGGGUCACGCGAUACUGAUCGACUCGAAGGCAGGAGAGGGUAGUGGAAUUCCCGGUGUAGUGGUGAAAUGCGUAGAUAUCGGGAGGAACACCAGUGGCGAAGGCGGCUCACUGGCUCGGUACUGACGCUGAGGCGCGAAAGCGUGGGGAGCAAACAGG